CGUUUGUCAACGGAACCCCUGCUUCUGCGCGGAUUCUGCGCAGCUGCAGCCAAGCGUCUACACUGCUUUUAUGAGCUGUAACACUCACCGCGAAGGUCUGCAGCUUCACUCCUGAAGCCAGCAAGACCACGAACCUACCAGAAGGAAGAAACUCUGAACACAUCCGAACAUCAGAAGGAACAAACUCCAGACGCGCCACCUUAAGAGCUGUAACACUCACCGCGAAGGUCCGCAGCUUCAUUCUUCAAGUCAGUAAGACCAAGAACCCACCAAUUCCAGACACACUACCUUGGCUCACGGCAACUUCUGUCUCCUGGGUUCAAAGAUGGAGUCUCACUGUUUCCCAGGCCGGUCUUUAACUUCUGAGCUCAAGUGAUCCUCCUACCUUGGCCUCCCAAGGUGUUGGGAUUACACACCAUGCCUGGCUGGCUAGCCUCUUUGAGGAUAGGAGUCUACAUGGAGAAAGACGCCCAGCUGACAUCCAGCACCAACUUGCGAGGCCCAGUUAAACAUCUGUGAACUGGUCUUGAUCACCAGAGAGUUUAUCUGGACUAUCAAGAACCCACCAACCUUCCAGGUGACUGUCACCACGUGAAUGAGCUCAGGUGAAACCAGCAGAAGAACCUCCCAGCUAAAUCCAGCCCAAAUACU
Long non-coding RNA from Gorilla gorilla gorilla (western lowland gorilla), 651 nucleotides. RefSeq lists it as uncharacterized. Lineage: Eukaryota; Metazoa; Chordata; Mammalia; Primates; Hominidae. The record is from RefSeq and is a predicted model, not a curated record. The transcript has 4 exons.